Salmo salar (Atlantic salmon) is the source of this 69-nucleotide non-coding RNA. The record is from Rfam. NCBI's taxonomy places the organism in Eukaryota, Metazoa, Chordata, Actinopteri, Salmoniformes, Salmonidae.
UGGCUCAGUUGGUAGAGCAUGGUGUUUGCAACGUGUUUGCAACGCCAGGGUUGUGGGUUCGAUUCCCAC